CCGAACGAUAAGGGGGGGGUUUUUCAAGCCCCCCCGACCGACACCUCUGUGCACUCUGGGAGGGCUCUCGAAAAAAAAAAAAGGGCCCCUCCCUCGUUUUUACGAACGCCUCGCAGUCUCGCGCGUGUGUCAGUGAAAUAAAAAUCAUAACA
RNAcentral lists this unclassified non-coding RNA (152 nucleotides) under uncultured Agaricomycetes. RNAcentral describes it as "sequence contains ITS1". Lineage: Eukaryota; Fungi; Basidiomycota; Agaricomycetes. The record is from RNAcentral.